Molecule: ribosomal RNA, 315 nt
Filed under: uncultured eukaryote
Lineage: Eukaryota
Description: partial 18S ribosomal RNA
Rfam family: Eukaryotic small subunit ribosomal RNA
Source: RNAcentral
CCCUUAGAUGUUCUGGGCUGCACGCGCGCUACACUGACGCACGCAACAGGUGCCGGCUCCGAGAGGACUGGGUAAUCAUUUGAGUGUGCGUCGUGAUGGGGAUAGAAUAUUGUAAUUAUUACUCUUCAACGAGGAAUUCCUAGUAAGCGCCAGUCAGCAGCUUGCGCUGAUUACGUCCCUGCCCUUUGUACACACCGCCCGUCGCUCCUACCGAUGGGUGAUCCGGUGAAUGAUUCGGACUUCAGCGGCUCCCCUGGGGUGCGCCGGAGAAAGUUUUGUGAACCUUAUCACUUGGAGGAAGGAGAAGUCGUAACA